UACGAAGGGGGCUAGCGUUGCUCGGAAUCACUGGGCGUAAAGGGUGCGUAGGCGGGUCUUUAAGUCAGGGGUGAAAUCCUGGAGCUCAACUCCAGAACUGCCUUUGAUACUGAUGAGCUAGAGGGAGAUAGGGGUAUGCGGAACUUCCGGUGGAGCGGUGAAAUGCGUUGAUAUCGGAAGGAACGCCGGUGGCGAAAGCGGCGUACUGGAUCUCUUCUGACGCUGAGGCGCGAAAGCUAGGGGAGCAAACGGG
Molecule: ribosomal RNA, 253 nt
Filed under: uncultured bacterium
Lineage: Bacteria
Description: partial 16S ribosomal RNA
Rfam family: Bacterial small subunit ribosomal RNA
Source: RNAcentral